This 510-nucleotide ribosomal RNA is filed under the name uncultured bacterium. RNAcentral describes it as "partial 16S ribosomal RNA". It matches the Rfam family "Bacterial small subunit ribosomal RNA", at positions 28 to 523 of the family's 1533-position model. The record is from RNAcentral.
GACGAACGCUGGCAGCGUGCCUAAUACAUGCAAGUCGAGCGGACUUAAAAAGCUUGCUUUUUAAGUUAGCGGCGGACGGGUGAGUAGCACGUGGGCAACCUGCCUGUAAGACUGGGAUAACUUCGGGAAACCGGAGCUAAUACCGGAUAAUCCUUUCCUACUCAUGUAGGAAAGCUGAAAGACGGUUUACGCUGUCACUUACAGAUGGGCCCGCGGCGCAUUAGCUAGUUGGUGAGGUAACGGCUCACCAAGGCGACGAUGCGUAGCCGACCUGAGAGGGUGAUCGGCCACACUGGGACUGAGACACGGUCCAGACUCCUACGGGAGGCAGCAGUAGGGAAUCUUCCGCAAUGGACGAAAGUCUGACGGAGCAACGCCGCGUGAGUGAUGAAGGUUUUCGGAUCGUAAAACUCUGUUGUUAGGGAAGAACAAGUACGAGAGUAACUGCUCGUACCUUGACGGUACCUAACCAGAAAGCCACGGCUAACUACGUGCCAGCCGCCGCAGUAA